ACGAACGCUGGCGGCGUGCCUAAUACAUGCAAGUCGAGCGAAUCAAUAGGAGCUUGUUCCUGUUGGUUAGCGGCGGACGGGUGAGUAACACGUGGGCAACCUGCCUGUAAGACUGGGAUAACACCGGGAAACCGGUGCUAAUACCGGAUAAUCCUUUUCCUUUCAUGAGGAAAAGCUGAAAGUCGGUUUCGGCUGACACUUACAGAUGGGCCCGCGGCGCAUUAGCUAGUUGGUGAGGUAACGGCUCACCAAGGCGACGAUGCGUAGCCG
This 270-nucleotide ribosomal RNA is filed under the name Bacillus sp. ISOM435_OTU386. RNAcentral describes it as "partial 16S ribosomal RNA". It matches the Rfam family "Bacterial small subunit ribosomal RNA", at positions 29 to 289 of the family's 1533-position model. Lineage: Bacteria; Bacillati; Bacillota; Bacilli; Caryophanales; Bacillaceae. The record is from RNAcentral.